CAAGAGCGUAUAUUAAAGUUGCUGCGGUUAAAGAGCUCGUAGUUGGAUUUCAGUCUAGGAAGGUUAACUCGCCGAAAGGUUGUACGUUGAUUUUCCUCAGACUUCGUCAGAAGCUCGUGCUGCACUUAACUGUGUGGUACGAUGUUCUGACCUUUUACCUUGAGGAAAGUAGAGUGUUUCAGGCAGGCUGCCCAGCUUGAAUACAUUAGCAUGGAAUAAUGAAAUGGAUCUCGGUUCGAUUUCGUUGGUUCUAGAGCUGAGGUGAUGAUCAAUAGGAACAGGCGAAGGUAUUCGUACUUGAGAGUGAGGAGUGAAAUCCGAUGAUCUCUUAAAGACGAUCCGAGGCGAAAGCAUUUGUCAAGGAUGUUUUCAUUGA
RNAcentral lists this ribosomal RNA (376 nucleotides) under uncultured eukaryote. RNAcentral describes it as "partial 18S ribosomal RNA". It matches the Rfam family "Eukaryotic small subunit ribosomal RNA", at positions 592 to 976 of the family's 1831-position model. The record is from RNAcentral.